AUACCAUAGUGGAAAAAAAAAAACUGCCUCUUAUUCCAUCACCGAAGUUAAGCAAUGUUGGGCCUGGUCAAUAUUUGGGAGGGUGACCACGUCGUGUGUGGUAACAUUGAGUGUCGUACUGU
Cordylochernes scorpioides is the source of this 122-nucleotide non-coding RNA. Lineage: Eukaryota; Metazoa; Arthropoda; Arachnida; Pseudoscorpiones; Chernetidae. The record is from the annotation of a GenBank genome assembly.